UUCAUAUCGUUUCCAGGAAAAUUCGUUACGAAAAAAUAUCAUAUUUACCUUGUUUGUAUUUUCCUGGUGUCUAUUGUAUUGUUGCCGCUAUCAAACAACAAAGUAUUUUUAGUUCUGCUUAUUCCUUGGCACUCGACAGUUUAGCGAAAAAGACUCGUUGCGAAUUUCGUACUGUAUCUCAACAUCCUACAAAAAAAACCUGCUGACAGUAGUUCAAAAAAUAGACCUACCUAUUAAUAUUUGCGAAAUAAGAUUAUGUCCACCACAGUUAACACGGACACGGAACAAAUUGUACUAACUCCUAUGGACACGGAAAACCCGAGUUUCCGGUUCCUGCAAAAGAAUAAACUGGCUCCAAACGUUCUCACGUUAGUUUCGAAUCCUCAAGAAGACACGUUGGCAACAGAUCAAAUGUUAACCGAUCAAUGUAUAGACGAAUGUGACGAGCAAUCUGAAGAGGUGUCUACUUUAUUUCCGGAAACACCUACUGUCACAUCUGAUCCAGAGGAAAUUUUGAAUUAAGCUGGUCAAAAUGAAAAUCAGACGCCUAAUACAUCUAUGAAACGAACAUUACCUGACGGACCUGGAUACCAGACUAAAAAGCCUGCUACCAGCGCGAUUAAGUUUAUGUCAUUCCGAAUAAAUUGGACUAAAAUUAGUGACAUCCUACUAGGUCGGUUGAACGCAUUACAGGAUUAUAAACGUGAGCAUCCAAACACUCGGAAUGAUCAAAUCCCAGUGUAUUUGCGUUUGAAGAAAAAUGAAAAAAGUUUACUUGUCAACACUUUGGUGGAUCAACUACGAGCUAUUGAUAAAAACGUUCCCGCUGAUGUAAUGGAAUCCGUUUCAGAGCAAUUGUUGAAGAGGUAUCCGUGCCUCGAAACCGCUGACGACGAUGGAUUUUCAAACGGUUCAAGUCACAUUGAGAUCAAACUGAAAAUGAUAAACCGUAAGUGCUAUCUCAAUAACCUCGAUAAAUCAGGAAGAAAAGCCUGUCCCGGUGAUUUCAAAGCCCCGAAACUGCAAUGCAGGUACCAUUCCGGGAUAUUGGAAGUUUUCGUCUAGUCAGUGUUCGAAAGAAAUAUUUUCUAAGCUCCGUCGAAAUGAGUCGUCUCUGCUGACCGAAGAGUUUUUGAGUGAAUCCCAGGCAUUCGUUCGAUCACGAUUGGACGAAAACAAGGAGCUCAAAAUUAUUCUUUCGGAGUUACCUGUUCUACGGCGUCGUCAACUUCUCCAUUAUCACUUCAAACAAGCAACUGGCAUUGAAAUUGGAAUUCUUCAAUCAUACUUCAGCUCCAAGCGAGCCAAAAUAGUUGAUUACUCAACUACGCAAAAACUGUUUAAGCUGCAGCAGACAUGCACGGAUUAUGAUGUACUUGCUGUUCUAGCCUAGCUAGUAGGAGAAAAUCUCGAGGAUCUCGUUUUGAAGAAAGAGGUCGGCACAUGCAUUGACGAUAUCCGCGAGGAAUAAAAAAAAAGAUAAAUAUUUGGCGUUCAUUUUGCAGCACAUGAACAAUUUUUACUAAUUUCAACUUGAGAAAAAAUCAAACUAGGUAAACAAUAGACGCAACCGAUUUUUUGCUUUUCGUAAGAGUGACCAUUAGCCUUAGCCUGAUUCGUCAUAUGGACCAUCAGCUUUACUUCCCUCUCGAAGGAAGAAUGUCGGGAUCAAGAUUAGAAACCUUGAUUUCUGAGGCGCCAGACCAACUGCUGCAAGACAAAAUAUGAUUUUAAAGCUUUUGAUAUGUAAUAUUUGGCGUUGGAUUAGAAAAUCAAUCAUGCAAGUUUUUUCCAUAAAUGGAGAUCAGGGGGUGAAUGAGUACUACACGUUAGCUUUGUAUUUAAAAAUGUUGCAAAUUUGAAAAAAAGAAAUGAAACUUAAUACUAAUUAGCG
Molecule: long non-coding RNA, 1894 nt
Organism: Wyeomyia smithii (pitcher-plant mosquito)
Lineage: Eukaryota; Metazoa; Arthropoda; Insecta; Diptera; Culicidae
Exons: 3
Source: RefSeq, a predicted model, not a curated record